CAACUUUAUACUGUGCUACUGCGAAUGGCUCAUUAUAUCAGUUAUAGUUUAUUUGAUGAUGACUUACUACUUGGAUAACCGUAGUAAUUCUAGAGCUAAUACAUGCGUAAAACCCCGACUUCGCGGAAGGGGCGUAUUUAUUAGAUAACAAACCAAUACGGGGCAACUCGGUAUUGCGGUGAAUCAUAAUGACUGUUCGAAUCGCAGUGGCCUUGCGCCGGCGAUGGAUCAUUCAAGUUUUUUUUCUAUCAGCUUUCGAUGGUAGGGUAUUGGCCUACCAUGGCAUUAACGGGUGACGGAGAAUUAGGGUUCGAUUCCGGAGAGGGAGCCUGAGAAACGGCUACCACAUCCAAGGAAGGCAGCAGGCGCGCAAAUUACCCAAAUCCUGGCACAGGGAGGUAGUGACAAGAAAUAACAAUACAGGGCCCACUGGGUCUUGUAAUUGGAAUGAGUACAAUUUAAAUCCCUUAACGAGGAUCAAUU
RNAcentral lists this ribosomal RNA (483 nucleotides) under uncultured eukaryote. RNAcentral describes it as "bacterial SSU rRNA". It matches the Rfam family "Eukaryotic small subunit ribosomal RNA", at positions 69 to 549 of the family's 1831-position model. The record is from RNAcentral.